AUUGAACGCUGGCGGCAGGCCUAACACAUGCAAGUCGAACGAGUGGCGGACGGGUGAGUAAUGUCUGGGAAACUGCCCGAUGGAGGGGGAUAACUACUGGAAACGGUCGCUAAUACCGCAUACCAUCGGAUUUGCCACGAUUGGAUUAGCUAGUAGGUGUGGUAAAGGCUCACCUAGGCGACGAUCCCUAGCUGGUCUGAGAGGAUGACCCGCAAACUUGGAACUGAGACACGGUCCAGACUCCUACGGGAGGCAGCAGUGGGGAAUAUUGCACAAUGGGCGCAAGCCUGAUGCAGCCAUGCCGCGUGUAUGAAGAAGGCCUUCGGGUUGUAAAGUACUUUCAGCGGGGAGGCGUUACCCGCAGAAGAAGCACCGGCUAACUCCGUGCCAGCAGCCGCGGUAAUUC
Molecule: ribosomal RNA, 406 nt
Filed under: uncultured bacterium
Lineage: Bacteria
Description: partial 16S ribosomal RNA
Rfam family: Bacterial small subunit ribosomal RNA
Source: RNAcentral